This 253-nucleotide ribosomal RNA is filed under the name uncultured bacterium. RNAcentral describes it as "partial 16S ribosomal RNA". It matches the Rfam family "Bacterial small subunit ribosomal RNA", at positions 524 to 776 of the family's 1533-position model. The record is from RNAcentral.
UACAGAGGGGGCAAGCGUUGUUCGGAAUUACUGGGCGUAAAGGGCGCGUAGGCGGCCUGCUAAGUCGAACGUGAAAUCCCUGGGCUCAACCCAGGAACUGCGUCCGAUACUGGUUGGCUUGAAUCCGGGAGAGGGACGUGGAAUUCCAGGUGUAGCGGUGAAAUGCGUAGAUAUCUGGAGGAACACCGGUGGCGAAGGCGACGUCCUGGACCGGCAUUGACGCUGCGGCGCGAAAGCCAGGGGAGCAAACGGG